UACGUAGGGGGCAAGCGUUGUCCGGAUUUAUUGGGCGUAAAGAGCGUGUAGGCGGUUUGGUAGGUCCGCUGUGAAAACUCGAGGCUCAACCUCGAGACGCCGGUGGAAACCAUCAGACUAGAGUCCGGAAGAGGAGAGUGGAAUUCCUGGUGUAGCGGUGAAAUGCGCAGAUAUCAGGAAGAACACCCGUGGCUAAGGCGGCUCUCUAGUACGGUACUGACGCUGAGACGCGAAAAGCGUGGGGGAGCGAACAGG
This 255-nucleotide ribosomal RNA is filed under the name uncultured bacterium. Its description in RNAcentral is "partial 16S ribosomal RNA". It matches the Rfam family "Bacterial small subunit ribosomal RNA", at positions 524 to 776 of the family's 1533-position model. The record is from RNAcentral.